RNAcentral lists this ribosomal RNA (439 nucleotides) under uncultured bacterium. RNAcentral describes it as "bacterial SSU rRNA". It matches the Rfam family "Bacterial small subunit ribosomal RNA", at positions 8 to 448 of the family's 1533-position model. The record is from RNAcentral.
AGAGUUUGAUCCUGGCUCAGGACGAACGCUGGCGGCGUGCUUAACACAUGCAAGUCGAACGGAAAGGUCUCUUCGGAGAUACUCGAGUGGCGAACAGGUGAGUAACACGUGGGUGAUCUGCCCUGCACUUUGGGAUAAGCCUGGGAAACUGGGUCUAAUACCGGAUAGGACCGCGCCAUGCAUGUGGUGUGGUGGAAAGCUAUUUGCGGUGUGGGAUGGGCCCGCGGCCUAUCAGCUUGUUGGUGGGGUGAUGGCCUACCAAGGCGACGACGGGUAGCCGGCCUGAGAGGGUGUCCGGCCACACUGGGACUGAGAUACGGCCCAGACUCCUACGGGAGGCAGCAGUGGGGAAUAUUGCACAAUGGGCGCAAGCCUGAUGCAGCGACGCCGCGUGGGGGAUGACGGCCUUCGGGUUGUAAACCUCUUUCACCAUCGGCGA